UACGUAGGGGGCAAGCGUUGUCCGGAUUUAUUGGGCGUAAAGAGCGUGUAGGCGGCUUUACAGGUCCGUUGUGAAAACUCGAGGCUCAACCUCCAGACGUCGACGGAAACCGCGUGGCUAGAGUCCGGAAGAGGAGAGUGGAAUUCCUGGUGUAGCGGUGAAAUGCGCAGAUAUCAGGAAGAACACCAAUGGCGAAGGCAGCUCUCUGGGACGGUACUGACGCUGAGACGCGAAAGCGUGGGGAGCGAACAGG
This 253-nucleotide ribosomal RNA is filed under the name uncultured bacterium. Its description in RNAcentral is "partial 16S ribosomal RNA". It matches the Rfam family "Bacterial small subunit ribosomal RNA", at positions 524 to 776 of the family's 1533-position model. The record is from RNAcentral.